GACGAACGCUGGCGGCGUGCUUAACACAUGCAAGUCGAACGGUAAGGCCCUUCGGGGUACACGAGUGGCGAACGGGUGAGUAACACGUGAGCAAUCUGCCCUUGACUCUGGGAUAACUGCGGGAAACUGGAGCUAAUACCGGAUACGACACCUUGGGGCAUCCCAGGGUGUGGAAAGAAUUUCGGUCAAGGAUGAGCUCGCGGCCUAUCAGCUAGUUGGUGAGGUAAUGCCUCACCAAGGCGACGACGGGUAGCCGGCCUGAGAGGGUGACCGGCCACACUGGAACUGAGACACGGUCCAGACUCCUACGGGAGGAAGCAGUGGGGAAUAUUGCAGAAUGGGCGAAAGCCUGAUGCGGCAACGCCGCGGGAGGGAUGAAGGCCUUCGGGUUGUAAACCUCUUUUAGCAGGGAAGAAGCGAAAGUGACGGUACCUGCAGAAAAAGCACCGGCCAACUACGUGCCAGCCGCCGCCGUAA
Molecule: ribosomal RNA, 477 nt
Filed under: uncultured bacterium
Lineage: Bacteria
Description: partial 16S ribosomal RNA
Rfam family: Bacterial small subunit ribosomal RNA
Source: RNAcentral